UACGUAGGGUGCAAGCGUUAAUCGGAAUUACUGGGCGUAAAGCGUGCGCAGGCGGUGCUGUAAGACAGGCGUGAAAUCCCCGGGCUUAACCUGGGAAUUGCGCUUGUGACUGCAAAGCUGGAGUGCGGCAGAGGGGGAUGGAAUUCCGCGUGUAGCAGUGAAAUGCGUAGAUAUGCGGAGGAACACCGAUGGCGAAGGCAAUCCCCUGGGCCUGCACUGACGCUCAUGCACGAAAGCGUGGGGAGCAAACAGG
Molecule: ribosomal RNA, 253 nt
Filed under: uncultured bacterium
Lineage: Bacteria
Description: partial 16S ribosomal RNA
Rfam family: Bacterial small subunit ribosomal RNA
Source: RNAcentral